This 93-nucleotide small nucleolar RNA is filed under the name Hordeum vulgare. RNAcentral describes it as "Small nucleolar RNA Z103". It matches the Rfam family "Small nucleolar RNA Z103". From Rfam's summary of the family: This family consists of several snoRNA Z103 sequences which are members of the C/D class of snoRNA which contain the C (UGAUGA) and D (CUGA) box motifs. The record is from RNAcentral. Lineage: Eukaryota; Viridiplantae; Streptophyta; Magnoliopsida; Poales; Poaceae.
GAGGAUGUGAUGAUCCUUUCCCAGAUGAUGGACUAUGAACAUGCUGAGCGCCAUUGUUCUCUUCAGAGAAACCAAGCCAGUAUUCUGAUCCUC